AAGUAGAUAAAAAUGGCUGAACUCCUAAAUUGGGAGGCGGCUUACGCCACCUGGCCAGUGCUUUUAAUUUCAAAGGUUCCAACGGGUUCUCGACCCUCGACCCAAAAGGCAGCUACUGGCAGGUUCCAGUGCAUUCAUCCGACUGCAGAAAACUGCUUUCAAGACACCGUGCACCGUGCCAAAUAAAUCACAGCAGACGACUUCUAUAAGAAGGUAGUUAUAACCUUUAAUAGUUCACCAUAUAAUCCAUGCUUUGCAUCACAAUUUGUAAGUGUAAAACUUGCAAGGCUGGUCUACAGGCAAACAACUCAGAGAGGAGAUACUUCGCGACCCUUCCAGCUUUCUAAAAACAACCAUUCUCGAUGUCCGGCAUGCAAAGUCAUACACUCGUUUAUUGAGGAAUCGUUUUAGUAAAAAACUAAACAAAAACAAAAAA
Molecule: long non-coding RNA, 436 nt
Organism: Ixodes scapularis (black-legged tick)
Lineage: Eukaryota; Metazoa; Arthropoda; Arachnida; Ixodida; Ixodidae
Exons: 2
Source: RefSeq, a predicted model, not a curated record